Molecule: long non-coding RNA, 91 nt
Organism: Myripristis murdjan (pinecone soldierfish)
Lineage: Eukaryota; Metazoa; Chordata; Actinopteri; Holocentriformes; Holocentridae
Exons: 3
Source: RefSeq, a predicted model, not a curated record
UCAGCAGGAAAGGAAACAGUGAUGACUGUGCGCUUGGCAGGAAUGACAAGUCCUGGAGUCUGGACUGCCAUGGUGAAAGUUUUUCUGGCUG